GGUUAAGCGACUAAGCGUACACGGUGGAUGCCCUGGCAGUCAGAGGCGAUGAAGGACGUGCUAAUCUGCGAAAAGCGUCGGUAAGGUGAUAUGAACCGUUAUAACCGGCGAUGUCCGAAUGGGGAAACCCAGUGCAAUUCGUUGCACUAUCGUUAACUGAAUACAUAGGUUAACGAGGCGAACCGGGGGAACUGAAACAUCUAAGUACCCCGAGGAAAAGAAAUCAACCGAGAUUCCCCCAGUAGCGGCGAGCGAACGGGGAGCAGCCCAGAGUCUGAAUCAGCUUGUGUGUUAGUGGAACGGUCUGGAAAGUCCGACGGUACAGGGUGAUAGUCCCGUACACCAAAAUGCACAGGUUGUGAACUCGAAGAGUAGGGCGGGACACGUGGUAUCCUGUCUGAAUAUGGGGGGACCAUCCUCCAAGGCUAAAUACUCCUGACUGACCGAUAGUGAACCAGUACCGUGAGGGAAAGGCGAAAAGAACCCCGGCGAGGGGAGUGAAAAAGAACCUGAAACCGUGUACGUACAAGCAGUGGGAGCACCUUCGGGUGUGACUGCGUACCUUUUGUAUAAUGGGUCAGCGACUUAUAUUCUGUAGCAAGGUUAACCGUAUAGGGGAGCCGCAGGGAAACCGAGUCUUAACUGGGCGUUAAGUUGCAGGGUAUAGACCCGAAACCCGGUGAUCUAGCCAUGGGCAGGUUGAAGGUUGGGUAACACUAACUGGAGGACCGAACCGACUAAUGUUGAAAAAUUAGCGGAUGACUUGUGGCUGGGGGUGAAAGGCCAAUCAAACCGGGAGAUAGCUGGUUCUCCCCGAAAGCUAUUUAGGUAGCGCCUCGUGAACUCAUCUUCGGGGGUAGAGCACUGUUUCGGCUAGGGGGUCAUCCCGACUUACCAACCCGAUGCAAACUACGAAUACCGAAGAAUGUUAUCACGGGAGACACACGGCGGGUGCUAACGUCCGUCGUGAAGAGGGAAACAACCCAGACCGCCAGCUAAGGUCCCAAAGUCAUGGUUAAGUGGGAAACGAUGUGGGAAGGCACAGACAGCCAGGAUGUUGGCUUAGAAGCAGCCAUCAUUUAAAGAAAGCGUAAUAGCUCACUGGUCGAGUCGGCCUGCGCGGAAGAUGUAACGGGGCUAAACCAUGCACCGAAGCUGCGGCAGCGACACUAUGUGUUGUUGGGUAGGGGAGCGUUCUGUAAGCCUGCGAAGGUGUGCUGUGAGGCAUGCUGGAGGUAUCAGAAGUGCGAAUGCUGACAUAAGUAACGAUAAAGCGGGUGAAAAGCCCGCUCGCCGGAAGACCAAGGGUUCCUGUCCAACGUUAAUCGGGGCAGGGUGAGUCGACCCCUAAGGCGAGGCCGAAAGGCGUAGUCGAUGGGAAACAGGUUAAUAUUCCUGUACUUGGUGUUACUGCGAAGGGGGGACGGAGAAGGCUAUGUUAGCCGGGCGACGGUUGUCCCG
RNAcentral lists this ribosomal RNA (1461 nucleotides) under Klebsiella pneumoniae. RNAcentral describes it as "partial 23S ribosomal RNA". It matches the Rfam family "Bacterial large subunit ribosomal RNA", at positions 1 to 1509 of the family's 2925-position model. The record is from RNAcentral. Lineage: Bacteria; Pseudomonadati; Pseudomonadota; Gammaproteobacteria; Enterobacterales; Enterobacteriaceae.